RNAcentral lists this microRNA precursor (61 nucleotides) under Canis lupus familiaris (dog). RNAcentral describes it as "Cfa-Novel-10_pre stem-loop". The record is from RNAcentral. Lineage: Eukaryota; Metazoa; Chordata; Mammalia; Carnivora; Canidae.
AGUGGCAGUCAGGACCUGGAGCUGAUAAGGGUUUUCUCUUCAGUCUUUGGCCUGCCUCUCC